RNAcentral lists this ribosomal RNA (253 nucleotides) under uncultured bacterium. Its description in RNAcentral is "partial 16S ribosomal RNA". It matches the Rfam family "Bacterial small subunit ribosomal RNA", at positions 524 to 776 of the family's 1533-position model. The record is from RNAcentral.
UACGGGGGGGGCAAGCGUUGUUCGGAAUUACUGGGCGUAAAGGGUUCGUAGGUGGCUUGCUCAGUCAGACGUGAAAUCCCUCAGCUCAACUGAGGAAGUGCGCCCGAAACUGCAGAGCUUGAGUACCGGAGAGGAUGGCGGAAUUCCCCAAGUAGAGGUGAAAUUCGUAGAUAUGGGGAGGAACACCGGUGGCGAAGGCGGCCAUCUGGACGGAUACUGACGCUGAGACGCGAAAGCGUGGGGAGCAAACAGG